AGUGAACGCUGGCGGUAUGCCUAACACAUGCAAGUCGAACGGCAGCACAGUAAGAUCUUGCUCUUACGGGUUGCGAGUGGCGGACGGGUGAGGAAUACAUCGGAAUCUACUUUUUCGUGGGGGAUAACGUAGGGAAACUUACGCUAAUACCGCAUACGACCUACGGGUGAAAGCAGUGGAUCUUCGGACCUUGCGCGAUUGAAUUAGCCGAUGUCGGAUUAGCUAGUUGGCGGGGUAAAGGCCCACCAAGGCGACGAUCCGUAGCUGGUCUGAGAGGAUGAUCAGCCACACUGGAACUGAGACACGGUCCAGACUCCUACGGGAGGCAGCAGUGGGGAAUAUUGGACAAUGGGCGCAAGCCUGACCCAGCCAUACCGCGUGGGUGAAGAAGGCCUUCGGGUUGUAAAGCCCUUUUGUUGGGAAAGAAAAGCUGCAGGUUAAUACCACGCUGUUCUGACGGUACCCAAAGAAUAAGCACCGGCUAACUUCGUG
This 492-nucleotide ribosomal RNA is filed under the name uncultured bacterium. RNAcentral describes it as "partial 16S ribosomal RNA". It matches the Rfam family "Bacterial small subunit ribosomal RNA", at positions 29 to 507 of the family's 1533-position model. The record is from RNAcentral.